Molecule: ribosomal RNA, 395 nt
Filed under: uncultured bacterium
Lineage: Bacteria
Description: bacterial SSU rRNA
Rfam family: Bacterial small subunit ribosomal RNA
Source: RNAcentral
AUUGAACGCUGGCGGCAUGCCUUACACAUGCAAGUCGAACGGCAGCGCGGGGCAACCUGGCGGCGAGUGGCGAACGGGUGAGUAACAUAUCGGAACAUACCCUAGAGUGGGGAUAACGUAGCGAAAGUUACGCUAAUACCGCAUACGCACUAAGGUGGAAAGUGGGGGAUUCGCAAGAACCUCAUGCUCAUGGAGUGGCCGAUAUCUGAUUAGCUAGUUGGUGAGGUAAAGGCUCACCAAGGCGACGAUCAGUAGCUGGUUUGAGAGAACGACCAGCCACACUGGAACUGAGACACGGUCCAGACUCCUACGGGAGGCAGCAGUGGGGAAUUUUGGACAAUGGGGGCAACCCUGAUCCAGCAAUGCCGCGUGAGUGAAGAAGGCCUCGGUGUAAG